RNAcentral lists this non-coding RNA (816 nucleotides) under Pongo abelii (Sumatran orangutan). Lineage: Eukaryota; Metazoa; Chordata; Mammalia; Primates; Hominidae. The record is from RNAcentral.
UGAGCCACUCCAGGAGGAGGUGUGGGCCAAUGGCGUGUUGGAGGUGGAGCCACAGGACCCGUCCAUAGGUUGGAUGGAGUGUGGGUGACAGAGGUAAACCAGGGCUCUCGGCCUGGGCAGCAGGACAGGUGGAGUCAUCCUCACCUGUGCUGGGGACUCUGUGGGAGCAGCAGGCUUCCGAGCACGUGUUGGACCCCGGCGUCUCUGGCUGCACCGAGGGGUCAGGGCAGGGACAUUGAGGCCGCGUCAGGGAGCGUGAGAUACAGGGACAAGCGGGCCCAGGGCUGAGCCCAGCAGUGUCCGGGUGGAAGUGGCGUUGAGAUGGGAAUGGGGAAUUGCACGGGUGGUCUCAGGAGGAUGGAAAACCCAAGCAGCAGCUGGACCAGGACCGAGGCAAAGGGACCGCAGUUUAACAGAAAACCCAAAACGAGAGCGAGAAAAUGGCCAAAACCCCGUGCGAGUGAGACGUCCAUGACCCUUCCCGGCAAAAUCCCAAAUAAGGGAGAAGGGGCAGUCACGGCGGGGGCCGGGGUUCCCUGAAAUCCCCUUCGUUUCCAGAAUCCCUGAAGAUUAUUCCACCCCCCAAGGAGGAAACCCAAGCUCCGCCGAGCGCGGCGGGUCUGGGCCUUCGCUUCGCUUCCUUCUGACCCGACCCUGAGUUCUUUCUCCGGACGGUGUCGCGAACCCGGGCGCCGGCUGGGGCUGGGGUCUCGCUGGCCUCGGAGCCCCCCGAGCCCUCAGGCAACAGCGAGGCGGCCGGGGGCGCAGAAGGCCCAGGGAACGCCAGGCCCCCGAACGCAACCCACACGGGCCCCU